UUUUCUUUUUGAUGUCCUUUGCAGUGGAUCACAGCUAUCUGCUGAGGAUCACCACGAUGAAUGACACGGUAACUAUCUGGACCAGGAAGUUCAUGACCAAUCGACCGCUCCAGAGGAAACAAAUGGUCACCAAUGUCCUUCACCACGGAAAUGCAACAAAAUGUACAAGAUCAUAAUAGGUGUCAUCUUCAUAUUAAUAGUUGGACUCAGAACCCAUGUUGGUGGUGGUUAAACAAUGGGCUUUGGCAUGCUAUCUGGUUCUUUGAAUUAUGCAAAGAAAAAUGAACUCAAACAUAGACUUGCAAGACACAGCUGACAUGAGAAGAAAACGACCUCGAGAAAACAGCAAAAGGAAUGCAAGGGCAGAAUGAAGUCAAGAGACUGCAAAGGCCAAUGUCAGUGCUGGCAAAAAGCAAAAGGAGUAAAGAUUUUGCAAUGACUUUAUUUGCAGUGACUGUACAAAUUUUGCAUGAGAUGAUCAAUCAGCUGUAAAGACUUUUACAUAUAUAUAAAACAUCUUAAUAUUUUUCAUCAUCUUUGAUUUCCUAGAUGUUCUAGAAACUGAUUUUUAGUGAGAAAAAAACUACAUUUAUCUGAGUUGACCAGUUCCUUCAGUUUCA
Molecule: long non-coding RNA, 620 nt
Filed under: Homo sapiens (human)
Lineage: Eukaryota; Metazoa; Chordata; Mammalia; Primates; Hominidae
Description: non-protein coding lnc-CLEC6A-2:1
Source: RNAcentral